AGGGUCUCUCCCUCUGCUGUUCCUUCUGCUGCGUCCCAAGCUCGAGGCUGGCUGGCCUAGCUUCUCUGGACACUUCUGUUUCUAGCUGCCCUCCUGCCGGAGGAGUGUGAGGAUUGGAGAUGCAGCUCUGUCACCGAAUGCUUGCGUCUAAGAGCAUACUGCCUGAAGAUGACUUCACCUAGCUAACCAUAGAAGGGUGAGUGCCACAUACAACCAGUUGACAUUUCUCUAAUAACUCAGGACCAUAUACAAGAAAAUAAAGCAUGUCUUCUCGUUGUUUGGGAGACUACACAAUUCGAAGUAUCCCUUGUUCAAAAGGAAGAAGAACACUGUCCCUAAAGAAAGUCAAAUGUUCCUUAAGAACCAGAUUAUUUUAUAUUGGCAAGAACGAUUAAAAUACACUGAUUGGAAAAUGCUGUCCACUUUUCUGUCUCCCAGUUUGGAGUCACUAGCUCUUUGGUGCAUU
This 466-nucleotide long non-coding RNA is filed under the name Mus spicilegus (steppe mouse). Its description in RNAcentral is "lncRNA (ENSMSIG00000030255.1)". Lineage: Eukaryota; Metazoa; Chordata; Mammalia; Rodentia; Muridae. The record is from RNAcentral.